GUGGGGAAUAUUGGACAAUGGGGGCAACCCUGAUCUAGCCAUGCCGCGUGAGUGAUGAAGGCCUUAGGGUUGUAAAGCUCUUUCAGUGGGGAAGAUAAUGACGGUACCCACAGAAGAAGCCCCGGCUAACUCCGUGCCAGCAGCCGCGGUAAUACGGAGGGGGCUAGCGUUGUUCGGAAUUACGGGGCGUAAAGCGCACGUAGGCGGAUCGGAAAGUUGGGGGUGAAAUCCCAGGGCUCAACCCUGGAACUGCCUUCAAAACUAUCGGUCUGGAGUCCGAGAGAGGUGAGUGGAAUUCCGAGUGUAGAGGUGAAAUUCGUAGAUAUUCGGCGGAACACCAGUGGCGAAGGCGGCUCACUGGCUCGGUACUGACGCUGAGGUGCGAAAGCGUGGGGAGCAAACAGGAUUAGAUACCCGGGUAGUCC
Molecule: ribosomal RNA, 425 nt
Filed under: uncultured bacterium
Lineage: Bacteria
Description: partial 16S ribosomal RNA
Rfam family: Bacterial small subunit ribosomal RNA
Source: RNAcentral